RNAcentral lists this long non-coding RNA (478 nucleotides) under Cricetulus griseus (Chinese hamster). Its description in RNAcentral is "lncRNA (ENSCGRG00000026121.1)". The record is from RNAcentral. Lineage: Eukaryota; Metazoa; Chordata; Mammalia; Rodentia; Cricetidae.
ACCUCCUUCAUGAUGUUCCAACAGUAGCUAUAACUAUGGCUUCCCACACACGGGUUGCACAUUGUUCUGCCCCUGGACCUUUGCUUGUGUAGAACAUUUUGUUCCCACUUUAUCCUGGUGGCUCAGCGGAUCAUUAGUCACCAUAUAAUUGUUAGCUGUGGCAUGAUGCCCCUUGGUAACCUCUCAUCUAAUGUCCACCUCUGGGCUGUGUGCACCACUCCUUGUAGGAACCUGUGCAAGGCUGUUUGCUCAAGAGAGCAUGGACUUCCUAAGGGACAUUGCUCAUGUAUCUCCAUCACUCCAGUACUGGCCACAACAAAGGUACACAACCUGGUGUCUAAUAGAAUCAUUGAAAGGCUUUCUAAAAAUACACCAGCUGCCUGUGGUGAAGGUGGAAUGCUACCAUCAUUGUCACUUAGUCAAAGAUGCGAAAAUGGCUGAAGAUACAGCCUAAGAAAUGGAAUCUGGGGGAAUAGGC